AGUCGAACGCUUCUUUUUCCACCGGAGCUUGCUCCACCGGAAAAGAGGAGUGGCGAACGGGUGAGUAACACGUGGGUAACCUGCCCAUCAGAAGGGGAUAACACUUGGAAACAGGUGCUAAUACCGUAUAACAAUCGAAACCGCAGGGUUUUGAUUUGAAAGGCGCUUUCGGGUGUCGCUGAUGGAUGGACCCGCGGUGCAUUAGCUAGUUGGUGAGGUAACGGCUCACCAAGGCGACGAUGCAUAGCCGACCUGAGAGGGUGAUCGGCCACAUUGGGACUGAGACACGGCCCAAACUCCUACGGGAGGCAGCAGUAGGGAAUCUUCGGCAAUGGACGAAAGUCUGACCGAGCAACGCCGCGUGAGUGAAGAAGGUUUUCGGAUCGUAAAACUCUGUUGUUAGAGAAGAACAAGGAUGAGAGUAACUGUUCAUCCCUUGACGGUAUCUAACCAGAAAGCCACGGCUAACUACGUGCCAGCAGCCGCGGUAAUACGUAGGUGGCAAGCGUUGUCCGGAUUUAUUGGGCGUAAAGCGAGCGCAGGCGGUUUCUUAAGUCUGAUGUGAAAGCCCCCGGCUCAACCGGGGAGGGUCAUUGGAAACUGGGAGACUUGAGUGCAGAAGAAGGAGAGUGGAAUUCCAUGUGUAGCGGUGAAAUGCGUAGAUUUAUGGAGGAACACCAGUGGCGAAAGGCGGCUCUCUGGUCUGUAACUGACGCUAAGGCUCGAAAGCGUGGGGGAGCAAACAGGGAUUAGAUACCCUGGGUAGUCCACGCCGUAAACCAAUGAAUGGCUAAGUGUUGGAAGGGUUUCCGCCCUUCAGGGCUGCAGCUAACGCAUUAAGCACUCCGCCCGGGGGAAUACAAACCGCCAGGGUUAAAACCCCAAAGGAAUGGACGGGGGCCCCCCCAAAACGGUGGAAACCGGUGGGUUUAAUUUCCAAACAACCCCAAAAAACCUUU
RNAcentral lists this ribosomal RNA (959 nucleotides) under Enterococcus faecium. RNAcentral's name for it is "bacterial SSU rRNA". It matches the Rfam family "Bacterial small subunit ribosomal RNA", at positions 60 to 973 of the family's 1533-position model. The record is from RNAcentral. Lineage: Bacteria; Bacillati; Bacillota; Bacilli; Lactobacillales; Enterococcaceae.